UUAUGGCCAUACCACGUUGAAAUAUCGGUUCCCGUACGAUCAGCGAAGUUAAGCAACGUCGAACCUGGUCAGUACCUGCAUGGGUGACCGCUUGCGAAUGUCAGGUGCUGUAA
This is a non-coding RNA of Acanthosepion pharaonis, 113 nucleotides long. Lineage: Eukaryota; Metazoa; Mollusca; Cephalopoda; Sepiida; Sepiidae. The record is from the annotation of a GenBank genome assembly.